Molecule: transfer RNA, 75 nt
Filed under: Danionella cerebrum
Lineage: Eukaryota; Metazoa; Chordata; Actinopteri; Cypriniformes; Danionidae
Description: tRNA-Phe
Source: RNAcentral
GCUUUCCUGUGAUUCAGUUGGUUGAGCAUUGCGCUAAAAACGUAAAGGUCGAGGGUUCAAAUGCCAGGGAAAGCA